AAUAUAGCCACACCGCUGCCUAUGAGGAAGGAACGCAAUGUUGCCUUGUAGUACUCUGAAGGUUUGUCUGCGUUUGUCUACCUCCAUGCAGGUUUGUACGUAACCUGAGCAGCUCCAAGGAGGGCUUGAUCGCAGCCGCCAAUCUCAUCACGCUCAUCGGAAAGUCCAAGUCCUGCCAGUCACUCACCAGCUCAGGCAGUGGCUCUGGAAACCUCAGCACAUCGUCCAGCUGCAGUGAGACCUAACCGGCCUCCUCCACAUCAAACCCUGGACUCCUCAUCAUUUCCGACAUCACCAAACUGCCCUCAUUAAUGCUAGCAUCAUGUUGCUAUCUGUGCUAUUGCCAACGUCGGUACUCUUGAGAAUUUUGUCAGGUUUUCAUAGUAUUUUUUUUUUUCAUUUUUCAAAUCAUGUAAACGCACAGAUUUAAUAAGCCGAUUCGUCACAUGUUAUAGACUUGAUUGUCGUGCAAUUGUGCGGUGACAAUCCAGAAUGCUGGUCGGAUAAAUACAUCACAGAAUGUCAUUCCACUGCAUUGUGAAGUGAACUUCCUCUAAUCAUACACUUCUCUGUACGUUCUUUUUUUUUUAAAGGAGAACAGUGGAUCAGUGUUUAAUAUGUAAUAGAUGUAUGGAUGGGCCAGCGGGACUGAUCUUCGUUAAUGCAUCUACUUAUGUUCACAUGAAAAGUGCAGAAGGUUAGUGAUGAUCUGGGGAUGUCUGCUGUCUCUCUGCUCACCGCCACUAAUCUACCCAAGCAGGAGGUUCUUAACGCUGCCGGCGCUGUCCCUGAAACGGGACGGGGAUGAACAUGUACAGCCUGUUUCGCUCCGAUGAAUGUUUUCUGAGAGCCUUCCUCUGCUUUUCCCUUUACAAGCUUAUUUAUUUGUAAGAAACAAAAGCCGUCAUGUAUAUUUACUCACUGUUUUUGUACUUAUUUUCUCCCUGUCUUCUCACGUCUGUUGUCAUUAGAAAGCAGUUCUGCCACCAGCUUCCCCAGACGUUGUGUACGAGGUUUGUGUUUUGGGGUCUCCGAGGGCCUCGUAGUAUAACUCUGUGAGUUUUCAUGUUCGCUACAGUUUAAAAAUGUUUCUCCAUCACUGUAUGGCGCUAACUUAUUCCCUGUGGAGGAUUAUGUUCUGAAUGUAGAUAUUGUCCAUUAAUAUCAGUUUGUCAUGAAAUGUCUGAGAUGCUAUAUUGUACAUUAUGCGUGGUGCCGUCACUUGACUUUUCUUUUGUUUUUUACAUAAACAACUUCAAUUCA
This is a long non-coding RNA of Gasterosteus aculeatus aculeatus (three-spined stickleback), 1263 nucleotides long. NCBI's taxonomy places the organism in Eukaryota, Metazoa, Chordata, Actinopteri, Perciformes, Gasterosteidae. The record is from Ensembl.